Molecule: ribosomal RNA, 508 nt
Filed under: Oenococcus oeni
Lineage: Bacteria; Bacillati; Bacillota; Bacilli; Lactobacillales; Lactobacillaceae
Description: bacterial SSU rRNA
Rfam family: Bacterial small subunit ribosomal RNA
Source: RNAcentral
GGAUACAGGUGGUGCAUGGUCGUCGUCAGCUCGUGUCGUGAGAUGUUGGGUUAAGUCCCGCAACGAGCGCAACCCUUGUUAUUAGUUGCCAGCAUUUAGUUGGGCAUUCUAAUGAGACUGCCGGUGAUAAACCGGAGGCAGGUGGGGACGACGGCAGAUCAUCAUGCCCCUKAUGACCUGGGCAACACACGUGCUACAAUGGGAAGUACAACGAGUCGCAAACCGGCGACGGUAAGCUAAUCUCUUAAAACUUCUCUCAGUUCGGACUGGAGUCUGCAACUCGACUCCACGAAGGCGGAAUCGCUAGUAAUCGCGAAUCAGCAUGUCGCGGUGAAUACGUUCCCGGGUCUUGUACACACCGCCCGUCAAAUCAUGGGAGUCGGAAGUACCCAAAGUCGCUUGGCUAACUUUUAGAGGCCGGUGCCUAAGGUAAAAUCGAUGACUGGGAUUAAGUCGUAACAAGGUAGCCGUAGGAGAACCUGCGGCUGGAUCACCUCCUUUCUAAGGA